UGUGGCCUAAGAAGGAUCUGUGGGCACCAUGGCUGGGACCGCUGUGCUCCUCGCGCUCCUCUCUCUCUGCACAGGUUCCCUCUCGCAGCCUGUGCUGACUCAGCCGCCCUCUGUCUCUGCAUCUCCUGGAGCAACAGCCAGACUUACCUGCACCUUCAGCAGUGGGUUCAAUGUUGGUGCCUUCCGAAUACGCCGGUACCAGCAGAAGCCAGGGAGCCCUCCCCGGUAUCUGCUGAACUACAAGUCGGACUCAGACAAGCACCAGGGCUCCGGGGUCCCCAGCCGCUUCUCUGGCUCCAAAGACGCCUCGGCCAAUGCCGGGCUCCUGAUCAUCUCUGGGCUGCAGCCUGAGGAUGAGGCCACCUAUUACUGUGGGGCACCUCAUGGCAGCGGGAGCAGCUACAGCGACUCACAGUGGCUCAGAUGA
Molecule: non-coding RNA, 427 nt
Organism: Pteronotus mesoamericanus
Lineage: Eukaryota; Metazoa; Chordata; Mammalia; Chiroptera; Mormoopidae
Source: the annotation of a RefSeq genome assembly